AGUGGCGAACGGGUGAGUAAUAUAUCGGAACGUAUCCAAUAAUGGGGGAUAACUAGUCGAAAGAUUAGCUAAUACCGCAUACGCCCUGAGGGGGAAAGCUGGGGAUCUUCGGACCUAGCGUUAAUGGAGCGGCCGAUAUCUGAUUAGCUAGUAGGUGAGGUAAAGGCUCACCUAGGCGACGAUCAGUAGCUGGUCUGAGAGGACGACCAGCCACACUGGAACUGAGACACGGUCCAGACUCCUACGGGAGGCAGCAGUGGGGAAUUUUGGACAAUGGGGGCAACCCUGAUCCAGCCAUUCCGCGUGAGUGAAGAAGGCCUUCGGGUUGUAAAGCUCUUUCGCAAGGGAAGAAAACUUAGUCUCUAACAUAGACUGAGGUUGACGGUACCUUGAUAAGAAGCACCGGCUAACUACGUGCCAGCAGCCGCGGUAAUACGUAGGGUGCGAGCGUUAAUCGGAAUUACUGGGCGUAAAGCGUGCGCAGGCGGCCUGAUAAGUCAGAUGUGAAAUCCCCGAGCUCAACUUGGGAACUGCGUUUGAAACUAUCAAGCUAGAAUAUGUCAGAGGGGGGUAGAAUUCCACGUGUAGCAGUGAAAUGCGUAGAGAUGUGGAGGAAUACCAAUGGCGAAGGCAGCCCCCUGGGAUAAUAUUGACGCUCAUGCACGAAAGCGUGGGGAGCAAACAGGAUUAGAUACCCUGG
This 700-nucleotide ribosomal RNA is filed under the name uncultured bacterium. RNAcentral describes it as "bacterial SSU rRNA". It matches the Rfam family "Bacterial small subunit ribosomal RNA", at positions 94 to 790 of the family's 1533-position model. The record is from RNAcentral.